Mastomys coucha (southern multimammate mouse) is the source of this 515-nucleotide long non-coding RNA. RefSeq lists it as uncharacterized. Lineage: Eukaryota; Metazoa; Chordata; Mammalia; Rodentia; Muridae. The record is from RefSeq and is a predicted model, not a curated record. The transcript is spliced from 2 exons.
CCUGCAGGGGCUUACCCAGCAUGUGGUCCACCUAGUUGCCACUGGACACCUUGGGACUCAUCCCUGGCUCCAGGUUGGCCUGCUUGUGCUGAACCACAACUCUCAAGUCAUUCCCCAGCUUCCAUGACCAUUCAGAAAAGAGACAAGGACUAGGUCCAUCAGAGGGAAGUUCAGGACCUCAGCCCAUGCUGGAGAGAGGAUAGUAUAUGGUAUGAGUCUGAGCUACCCUUCAAGGAAUGUCCCCGCUGGUUCAGGUUUUGGACACUUGUUCUCACUGCAGCUGGUGGUGCUUUUGUGGAAACUAUGGAUGCUGUAGAAAGUGGAGCCCAACUGGAGGUUAGCUCACAGGGAAGAACCAUUCCCACCCUUGGCCUGUCUGGCUCUCUGCCUCUUGGUCCACCAUGAUGUGAGCAACCGCUACCAUACAUCUGCUCCCAUGACUGAGCUGCACAGCCUGCCUUCGCAACCAGAGUGGAGUUCAACCAUGAGUCAAAAUUAAAUCCUUUCUCCUUAAA